GAUCAUGGCUCAGGACGAACGCUGGCGGCGUGCUUAACACAUGCAAGUCGAACGAUGAAGCCCAGCUUGCUGGGUGGAUUAGUGGCGAACGGGUGAGUAACACGUGAGUAACCUGCCCCUGACUCUGGGAUAAGCGUUGGAAACGACGUCUAAUACUGGAUAUGACUACUGGUCGCAUGGCCUGGUGGUGGAAAGAUUUUUUGGUUGGGGAUGGACUCGCGGCCUAUCAGCUUGUUGGUGAGGUAAUGGCUCACCAAGGCGACGACGGGUAGCCGGCCUGAGAGGGUGACCGGCCACACUGGGACUGAGACACGGCCCAGACUCCUACGGGAGGCAGCAGUGGGGAAUAUUGCACAAUGGGCGAAAGCCUGAUGCAGCAACGCCGCGUGAGGGAUGACGGCCUUCGGGUUGUAAACCUCUUUUAGUAGGGAAGAAGCGAAAGUGACGGUACCUGCAGAAAAAGCACCGGCUAACUACGUGCCAGCAGCCGCGGUAAUACGUAGGGUGCAAGCGUUGUCCGGAAUUAUUGGGCGUAAAGAGCUCGUAGGCGGUUUGUCGCGUCUGCUAUGAAAUCCCGAGGCUCAACCUCGGGCUUGCAGUGGGUACGGGCAGACUAGAGUG
RNAcentral lists this ribosomal RNA (621 nucleotides) under Curtobacterium luteum. RNAcentral's name for it is "bacterial SSU rRNA". It matches the Rfam family "Bacterial small subunit ribosomal RNA", at positions 15 to 648 of the family's 1533-position model. The record is from RNAcentral. Lineage: Bacteria; Bacillati; Actinomycetota; Actinomycetes; Micrococcales; Microbacteriaceae.